GAAAAAAACAGCCAUCAAGAGUAGAAAGACACACUGUACAAACUCAGGAGGGGCUGAGAGUGAAGAGUCUUCCAGAGCUGUGUUCUGGUGCUGUUGCUUAAGCAUCUUUCUUUUUAGUCAAUAUUGCACAGAACGCUUGGUUAGGAGGAGCACUGAUCUGACACAGUGCAGCUGUCUCUGUGCUCUAUGUUUAAAAGCAAUCUGGGGAGAACGGAGGGAAUGAUAAAGCUCGCAGACAUCAAAGCUAAAGCUGGCUGAGAAGCAGUGCAGAAGAUCUUGCAAUUCUGCGUGACUGAGUGAGAAAAUGGCAGAUGAAAUUUGGAAUCGAUAAAUGCAAAAUAAUGCACACGGAGAAAAACAACUAAUUAUACAUACACAGUGAUGCGCUCUAAAUUACCUAUUAUCACUCAGGAAGGAUCCUGGACUCAUUGUGAAUGGUUCUGUGAAAAUGUCAGCCUGAUACUCAAUGGAGGUCAAAAAGGCAACCGUCUUACUGAUCUGAGGCACCAAAAGGACCGGCUUCUGGGCAAUGAGAGUUGUGUAUCUGUUACGUGUUGGAAUGGUGUGACUGUAAGAUUAAGUCCCUGUCUGCUACUGGCUGGUCUUCAACAUCUUCAGAGAUGAUUCCAGGGGAUCGCUGGCUAUCUGCAUGUUUCCUUGUCAUCUCAAACAAGGGAUAAUGCUCUCCUGGGAACAGUUUCACCUCGAAGAGACAGGCAGCUCCUCAAAACAAUAUGGUUAAUCUUCAAGAAUUUGUCUGCCAGCUGUCUUCCAGGAAGCAGAAUCAAGGAAUGGCCUGGUUAUCAAGGGUGGCUGGCUGGAGACCUCCUCUGCCUUCUCCUCUACCAUUGUCACUCUUGCUAUGAUUUACUUAAGGUAUGUUCUGAACCAGUGGAACAAAUGUUCUGUGCUCUCAAAGGCAAAAACUGCCUUGGAAACCAAAGUCAAACCCAAAGAAGGGAAGUGAUGGCCACUCAUUUUGUUACAAACCUCCACCUCAUUUCUGGAGUCCUGUCUGAGAUUUUCAAAUAUAUGGACUUUACAGGACAAAACAGAGGGGAAUGGCAGAGAGGAACAGCUGAGAACAAGGGAGCCACACGCAGGAACAUUGUUCUGUACCACACUUCCGACUCAGCCCGAACAUUGCCUUCCUGUGGACACUGCAGAGCUUCAGUGGGCCUGAAGCUUUGCUGGAUGAAAGUUACACAACAGGAAACAAACAAGAAAUGGAGCCAAAUGCAACAAACAAACCCCCAGCUGAAGGGAACAAGAAGAAAGAAAGACAGAGAGUGACUUCAGCUCUGUAAAUCUUUC
RNAcentral lists this long non-coding RNA (1314 nucleotides) under Gallus gallus (chicken). RNAcentral's name for it is "lncRNA (ENSGALG00010009140.1)". The record is from RNAcentral. Lineage: Eukaryota; Metazoa; Chordata; Aves; Galliformes; Phasianidae.